UACGAAGGGGGCUAGCGUUGCUCGGAAUCACUGGGCGUAAAGCGCACGUAGGCGGACUCUUAAGUCGGUGGUGAAAUCCUGGAGCUCAACUCCAGAACUGCCUUCGAUACUGAGAGUCUCGAGUCCGAGAGAGGUGAGUGGAACUGCGAGUGUAGAGGUGAAAUUCGUAGAUAUUCGCAAGAACACCAGUGGCGAAGGCGGCUCACUGGCUCGGUACUGACGCUGAGGUGCGAAGGCGUGGGGAGCAAACAGG
Molecule: ribosomal RNA, 253 nt
Filed under: uncultured bacterium
Lineage: Bacteria
Description: partial 16S ribosomal RNA
Rfam family: Bacterial small subunit ribosomal RNA
Source: RNAcentral